ACCCUCCAGGGUUCCCUUUCCCAUCAGAUCUGAAUACUGGUCUUGGUGGUUGUAAAAGGAGGAAAAGUAAUACUGAAGGAGCUGGCCUCGCAGUAUUGUAGUCUGGCAUAUGGCGUGUGGGCUAGUUUCCAACAAGG
Molecule: small nucleolar RNA, 137 nt
Organism: Prolemur simus (greater bamboo lemur)
Lineage: Eukaryota; Metazoa; Chordata; Mammalia; Primates; Lemuridae
Source: Ensembl